AUUGAACGCUGGCGGCAGGCCUAACACAUGCCAGUCGAGCGAGCGGCGGACGGGGGAGUAAUGUCUGUGAAACUGCCUGAUGGAGGGGGAUAACUACUGGAAACGGUAGCUAAUACCGCAUACCAUCAGAUGUGCCCAGAUGGGAUUAGCUAGUAGGUGGGGUAACGGCUACCCUAGGCGACGAGCCCUAGCUGGUCUGAGAGUAUUACCAGCCAAGCUGGAAUGAGGACACGUUCCAGUCUCCUACGGUAGGCAGCAGUGGGGAUUAUUGCACAUUGGGCGCAAGCCUGAUGCAGCCAUGCCGAGUGUGUGACGAAGGCCUUCGGGUUGUAAAGCACUUUCAGCGUGGAGGCGUUACCCGCAGAAGAAGCACCGGCUAACUCCGUGCCAGCGGCCGCGGUAAUAC
Molecule: ribosomal RNA, 406 nt
Filed under: uncultured bacterium
Lineage: Bacteria
Description: partial 16S ribosomal RNA
Rfam family: Bacterial small subunit ribosomal RNA
Source: RNAcentral